This is a long non-coding RNA of Solenopsis invicta (red fire ant), 836 nucleotides long. RefSeq lists it as uncharacterized. NCBI's taxonomy places the organism in Eukaryota, Metazoa, Arthropoda, Insecta, Hymenoptera, Formicidae. The transcript is spliced from 7 exons. The record is from RefSeq and is a predicted model, not a curated record.
GCAAGGGCCGCGGGACGGAUGGGCUCCGGAACGGAGGAGUCAUUGCAGCUCAUUUAAUAGAACGCAACGGUCGCGGAUGGACGUGCUCCAGAACGGAGGCGUCAUCGCGGCUCGUUUAACAGAACGCGCGGCGUACGCAGAAAGGAUCAACUCAGGGACGAAUGGCGUUAUGAUUCAUUUAAUUAAUUGUAUAGUAUCAUAUGUACUACAAUUUCAUUAUUGCACAUUGUGGGAAUAUAAUCUGAAGAGGAGAUCUGAUAACUCGGAAAUAAAUUAGACUUAAAGGAGGUAUCGGGUUUCGGAAGACAAACUUUGCGAUUUAUCGUAGCGAUGUGUCUGUUAACGCCACUGUUGCGCAUUGAUUGUGAACUUAUUCCAUGUAUUAAGCUAUCAUAUAUACACUCGUCGAUGAUUUAAAUAAACGAACCGCAACCGGUUCGUCGCGUCGCGUUUGUUCCGGGAGUGUCGUUCAAAGUAACUGGACUAAUGGAUUUAACUAGUCCACGUGCGUGAUUUUAAUAUAUUAUUCGCGAGUGUUUCGCGAGUGCAACGGAAGAAAGGGACCUGACAACUUGGACCUGAGAGGAGGAGGAGGCCUGGGAGAGGUAUCGGGCCCCAGCGGAGCAACAUUGUGUAAUCAACGUAGCUUCGUAGCUCAAUAACUCCGCUCGUUGCGCAUCGGAUCGGUGAGUCAAAGAACAUAUUUUUUUUUUUUCUUGUAUCAUUGUUGUGCAAACGUUCUCCUUGCGGAGGAUCGAAGAAAAGGACACUGAAAGAAAGAGUUUGAUAAUAACUGCCAAAUGUUGGGUGAAAUAAAUUUAAAUAAUUAUACAUUU